GGAAAUCUAAUACAAAGCUUGUUCCACGUGUUGUAAAUAUAUAAUAACAUAUCAUUAAUUAUUUGGUAUGAUGAAACAUUGUAAAAUAUAUAAUUGUGUUAUAUUCUGAAAACUUUCUAAUAUAAACCUUUGAUCAAUAUUUACCAACUUGGUCCUGGUAAGCAGCUAGUGUAUGAAACAUUGUAAUGCCAUGCUAUGGUUUACAUUUCAGGUAUAUAAAAGAUGUGAACGAGUAGCGUAGGGGACCGAAUAAAUCAAAGAACAUGGAAAGUUUAGCAACUUUGGACUUAAACUUAGAUGACUAUGUUUCAAACUGUUCCCGGGGAAACUGCACGGACUACAGAUUGAUAAACCUUACUGAUGUUGAUCUUAUAAAUUAUAUAGUUCAAAAAUUAGGACACAAAAAGAAGGAUCUGUUUUCAUCUUUUUCGCUGACUUGUAUUUAUGUUGUGAUUUUUGUGACCGGAGUGGUUGGAAAUUUAAGCACCUGCUUCGUUAUCCGCCGAAACAAGUACAUGCACACGACAAUAAACUUAUACUUGUUUAGUCUAGCGAUCGCUGACUUAUUAAUCAUUGUACUAGGUAAGUGAUUUUUUUUUAUAUAUUUUAUUUUGAUUUAUUAGUAUACAUGUAUAUGAAGUACUUAUCCUUUCUAUUUCAUUUAAGUAUGAUGUAAAUACCUUGGAACAGCUUGAUUCUUAUCGCCAAUUUCAUAAGGGUCAUGCUAUCUUUAUCGAGAAAUCGUGUUAUUACUGAAUAGUCAGCUAAAAAAAGUGCAGAUACAAGUAAAAAUAUGUAUGAUUGCAUCUAACUUCAGAGUAGAAGUUUAUUGAUAAACGAAUUAGAGUAUUGGUUAAACAAUUCAGUCCCAUGGCAUAUGUAACAUUCGGCUGUGAUUGCACAGGAAAAGAAAAACGUAUAUUUAAAAAUUGUUUGGGCCUUCCCAUUACCGAAUUCCAAAAGAAAAAGUAAUGCUACCAUAAAUUGUUCCAAUAUUUUAGACACACGUAAGCGUGAUGACAUGCUUUCACAGUGACGUCACAUGGAAUACAUCAGUUUGUAGCACUCACAUGAACAUUUUAGGAAUAGUUUUGCCUAUACAACACAUAGCAUCGCCCAUGUACUUUUUGCCAUCGAAUAGAUGAACACAAAAAUACACCUCUUGCGUCAAUACUCGCAUUUCUCAACAUGCAUGCAGAGUGUAAGGUGGGAAUUAUUAUAGAGCGAUGUGUCAUUAAACGGUUGCAUAAAAAUAGUAAAAUAUACAUAUUUUUACGCUAAUUGAUAUAUGAGUUCACCGUGCUCUUAUGCUAGUCUGUACAAACCUUUGAUCUUAGAGCCGUUUUUAUCUCAAAGCGAAACCCCUAUAUUGAAUAACAAGUCGUUAUGACAUCAUCACAAUUAAAAAAUAAGAAAUAAAUAAAUUUAAAUUUAAAAAAUGAUAAAAGUAAUUGCAUAUUGACAUUGUAUCUAGCUGUUAACCUGUAAAGCAUGAACUUUUAUAAAGUAGUACUAGAGGUAAUUAUAAAAUACAUAGCAGGUUUGGGUAUUUAGGAAGUUACUAACUAUUCGAUAACUUGAUCGAGUAUCAAUAUCAUGUUUGAUCCGUAUGUUAUAUGUGAAAUUAAGUAAAUCUAUACAUUUAAUUGAUGUCGCAAUAUUUAUUGAUACAAUAUAACAUGCACAUAAUUAUAUAAGUAUGGUUUAAAAAUCAAAUAGCCUUUAUAUCGGGAUUUUUAGAUCCUUGAUUGAGUUAUUCGUCACUGUAAACCAACAUUGUUCUUCUGUAUCAUAUACCCUUCAUCUAUGUCACGAGCACCCAAUUAAGAAUUUGCAAGAUUAAUGCAAGAGAAUGGUUUUUAUUAUCAUAUUUUGGUUGACUUUUAAAAAAAGCGAUUUUUUAAGCCUCACCUUUAAACAAAUCUGUUGUCUAUUAAAAAAUGCUAUAUUUGAUAUACAGUUUUAUAAUUUGAAAAAGGGUCACAUUCCUUAUUUGUGGAUCUUAGUUAUUACUAUGUUGUAGAAUCAUGGCUACUCAACACUUAGCAGUAUAUACUACAUUCGUUUUCAAAUAAGUUAUCACGAUGAUUUUGAACGUUCUAUGUAAAAGUCCACAGUCAGAGUAUAAUGCUACGCUUUAUUUAACAGUGUGUUUAAUAUCAAUUUUUCACAUUGUGGAUUGCUUUUGCAAAUUUUGGAGUUCCAGUUUCAAGGAUUUUAGCUAGUAAUGUUGCACAUCGUAUAUUACAACGAGAACUACAGGACAUGUUGGUGUUGUCAGUGAGAGCGUCACUGAUGAGUCUUUUGUAGAAGAAACGCGCGUGUGGCGUAUAUACUAAAUUCAGUCCUGGUAUCUAUGAUGAGUUUAUUUAUGAAUAAACCUAAUUUAUACUGGUUUUUUUAAGGACUUUCAUUCAUUCAUUCAACAUUAGGCGUACACAGUGAUUAAUUUUCGUUUUUUUCUUCGUUAAUGAUACUUUUCCAUGUAAAUCAUGACGUUUGACAACGUCAAAUGAAAAAUUAAUAGCCGUGUUCCAUACAUCGGAUUUGUCUGUGAAUUUAAAUGUUUUUGUAUUUUUUGUUUUCAUAGAAAGAGAUUUCACUUGCAAAGUGCACUGUUAUCAAUUUUGUUUCCCCAAAGCAAUUAGACUUAUAAACACAAGAUGAUUUCCCAUUAUGGUUAAACCUUAAUUGGUUUAAGGAUCUGUUGAGUGUAUAAUAUCAUCACAUUAUUUCGAUAACAAAUUAAAGUAACCAGUCAUGAAGGACGAAUUGCUUUAAGAAUACGUGUCUGUGGAAUUAAUGUGAAUUUAUUUAAUGUGAUUUUAACACUAUAUUUAUAUUGACAACAAUUACUGUUCUAGGUGUCUUAUAUAAAUUAACCGAUAGGGAGCAGGUAUUCCUUAGUAUUAUAGAACUUUAAAUUAUCAUGUUUUAGAUAACAGAUCAUUUGGAAAAAUUGUGUUUACAUUACAAUAUCAAUUAAAUAUUUUGACUAUCGUUAUCAUCAUCAAUAGUAUUAAUAUAUAUACAGAGAUUGAGUCUCUAUGGAAAUAGAGAGACACAUAGAGGCAAAUCACAACCUUCUGGAGCUAGGGUAACGCAUAGGUUUGAACCUUUACUACAUGCUUUUAAAAUUUAGAUUAAGUUUUCAAUAAAAAAACAGGUUCAGAAUGUCAACUCCUUCUCAUAAAAUCAAACAGUUGGGGUAUGAUUAUAAUGAGGCAACUGAUCACUAACGGUCCAAUAAAGUGGAUGUUACAUUUUCAGUAUUAUGUAAUUUUUAUGUUUGGUAUUCUAUUUCUAUAUAAAAUGUUAUGGUGUAUAUGUAAAAAAGGCUACAUAUAUAGAGGUAUUUCCAGGAGAACGUCUCAAGGUAACAAUAUCUAGAAAAACCCGUAGUGAGUACCUUUAUUAAAAAGAAACUGCAUAAGUAAUGAAGCAAGUAAUUGUUUAGCAUCGUCUGAUUUAAAGUACUGUACGACAUUUAUAAAAAGUAAAAUAAAAAAAAUACUGAACUUAGAGGAAAAUCAAUUCAGAAAGUCCAUAAUCACAUGGCAAAAUCAAAUAACAAAACACAUAAAAAAACGAAUGGUCAAGAACUUUCAUAUUCCUGACUUGGUACAGGCAUUUUCAAUUGUAGAAAAUGGUGGAUUAAACCUGGUUUUAUAGCGCUAACCCUAUAAAUAAUAGUAACUACACGAUGUUCUGUAAUCAUUGUUCAAGCAAAACAUACUCAAACUAGAACAAGAAAAAGCCGAACAAGAGUAAAAUUGUCGAAUACUUUUAACACAAACAAAACACCUAUAUUUAAAAUCAAAAGUAUAAGACCAAUGAAGGCCAUGCAUCAAACAUUCCAUCUCAGUUACAUAUUGAGAAAAUCUAGAUUAAACCCUCUCAUGGAAUCUGUUUAAAAAAACGUAACGAUCAUGUGAGAAUAAUAUGACUAUAGCUUCAUGGAAACUCAUUAUUUUCGUAUCAUUCUUUUCUAUUAUGUAAACUAAAGUGCAAAAUUCUUGCUAUCAUCAUCCAUUCCUUGUUUUAAGCAAUAAAAUGCUAUCGAAUAUAUAAUGUGUUAUUGAUGUCUAUAACGACUAACAGUCAUCCAGCAGACAAUGUAAAUUUUGAAGUAUAUAAGUAUGUUUUGUUAAUACCACUGCCUAGCUGGAGCUAUUUUCUCUCUUUAAAAAAAGUAAAACACAAAAUCAUUUCCCUAUCACGAACAUACUAGCAUUAAGAUAAUAACAACAUUCCAAAAGUACAUUUAUAUCUAGUGUCUGUCAGACUGAUCUAAGUCUAUCAUGACAUUAAAUCUUUUUAUUCCCAAUUACAUAUGCAUUAAGACGAACUACCUGAUUAACCCUGCGAACAAAAAUAUGUCUGGUUAACAGACUACAAGUGCAAUCAAGUACAAUUGUUUUUGUGACCUAAUUGGUUCCCAUAAACAACUCGUAAAUAUACUAUUCAGAUAACAUUUGAUUAUUCUUUCCAUGGCGUUUCUAUACAAUAAAUAUGACUAAAUGAAUGUCUUCCAUUUACGACGAAAGGACAAAGUCAAUACAUUGUAAUUAUGUAAUGUUACUCCUGUACUAUGCCGUUAAUUCGUCAGGAUGUAGACAUAUGAGAAAUAUUUAUACUUUUAUAUUAGAGACCGCAAAAACAAUUAAGAAAAAGGUUACAAAUUUAUAGAAUAAUAAGUAGAACGAAAGAAGAACAUGAGUAUAAAAUAGCAGAAGCAUUAUCUUUGCUUCAAAACUCUUCAACGUUUCAAUUCGAGGCUUACUGAUUUUUAUUUUGUUGACAAAAAGCGCGUUAGACGUAAACACGUAUGAGUUUCUUAUAUUAGCUAAUUAUGAACACAAUAAUUUACAGAUGUUUUGCAGUUCAUUAAAUUGUAUUUUAUCUUUUUUACAUUUUUCAACGAUAAUAUCAAUUACAUUGACCUGAUUUACUUUCCCUUUUAAAUACAGUCAAUAAGAAAGAUGACAGGAAUGAAAAGUCAUAGAAACGUAUUUACAGAUUGCAUAGUGCAUCAUAGUUUUCGUUAGAAUUAUUUCCUUCCUAAGAAUAAAAGGAAUUACCGCUAUUUUACGAAAUUUUCCCAUGAUCUUGCUGACUGAUAAUUUCCUUUUUCAGCUCAGAAGAGUGAUAUAAAAAAUUACCGCCAGAAACUAAGGGCACACGAGCCCUUGUCAAUAAAAUUGAAAACGUUGUCAUAUGUAAAUUAGCAAUAAACAAAUUAUCACUGGUCAUCCAGACCAACAAUAAUCUAUAAAUGAACGUGUACACAUUUUUAAGAUAAUACUGGCAUUAGACAACCACUAACGAUGUUAAUCAACUGGAACAGACGCAUGAAUAAGUUGCAGGAUUAAACUGUUAAUUUUGAAAGUCAACGCUACUAUUUUUAAAUCAGAGAAUGCAAAACGCAAAUUGAAGAACAUAAUAUACAACAUACAAUUCAGAAGGGUAACAGAAAAUGUGUCAAAGAGACAACAGCCAGAUCAAAGAGCUGGAAACAACCCAUGGCCACCAAUGAUCAGUACAAAAAGCCUUUUCAAGACAAUACAGAAACAAGAUGAAAAUGGAACAACGAACCUUGUGAAACAAGAAAAUGCGUGUAUUGAGAGUAAACACAAAAAACGUAAACUUUGCUCUAUUCUUAAUACAAAUUUCUUCAAGUUACCUCUGUAUCCCCUCUUAUUCUACCAAUAUAGGAAGUUUUUUGUAUUGAACUAACCUUUUGUUUACGUUAUUCUCGAUGAAAAAUGAAUUAUUAUAAUAUCGUUUAAAGUUGGAGAGAUCGGUCGAACGAAUGUUAAUCAGAAGUGUCCUAUUAAUGUAAAUUUUUAGACAAUUUUGUAAGAUGUCAUAUUCUUAACGGUUACUUAUCCAUGAUAUUAUUCAAACGCGUAACGAGUUUUUGUUCGGCCAGCAUACAUUAAUAUCUUUAACUUCUUUAUUAUAUUUUUCUUUUUUGGGAAGGGGAUGCACAAUAUGAGUUUAUAAACAAACAUGACAUAAAAGGGUACCCAUUCUACUGAUUGUAUUAUAAAUUAAAAUUUGAUUUUCUUAGACCUCUUGUGAAUUGGAAGUGCACUUAAAGUACACAAUAUUUGUUUGUUUUCUCAAUUUGUCAGAUCUUUGAUUGUUUCGUUUCUGUGUUUAAAGUGCAGUAUAUGAUUCAAUAGUUAUCGGUACUUCCGUUUUGUGCAUGAUUAAGUGUCUAAAUGGGUAUUUGAGAUAUAUAUUUAAUCGCACCGGAAAUGAUUUUAUCAAAGUAAAACGACACGAUAUCCAAAUGGACAUAAUCAUUAAUAAAAUAGUCUUGCGUAAUGUAAAAAUCAUUUGGAAUAUUUGUUGGUAUACGAAUAGUAAACUGGGUACAUUGAAAUAUAUGUUAGGGUAGAAAUGCCAUGUCUAUUCAUCGACCAAAUAUGUAUGUUUGAAUACAUAACAAAUUUGUAACUUAAUGUUAAGCCAAAAUGAGUAUUAAAGAGACAACAGCUGUUACAUCCAUAUUCACUGAUUGGACUCAAAUUUGAAUAUCUAAAUUUUAACAUGUUAUGUAUUUCUAAAUUAUUGAAAAUGCAAAUGAAACAAUAAAAGGUGCAUGAACUCGUUAUAAUCUGUCAGUAUUAUGUUUGACUUACACACCAUUUUAUUAGCUAUCAAAGGUGUUACGUUUGAAUUGAAAUUCAUGUGAACAUAAAUAUAAAUUUAAAUAAACCCACUAGCAUAAGUAAUUGUAUACCGACGAUUGUUCUAUUUUGCUUGAUUUUUUUGUAAAACAAAAUAAGAAAAUUAUCUUUCUUUCUUUAUCAGAAUUAUUUUCUGUGUGUCAAAUCAGUCAAAAAUAUGGGUCUUUUUUCUGAUGUCUACAUUGUUUCAUUUUUUCAAUGUUGACUUUCGUUUUUACAUAACUGAACAUGCUUGACACAUGAGUAACCCAUUCCCAACAAAGGAUCGAUUAGAGGGUCGACUGAAUACGUAUUUAAAUGUCUAUACCUCAGCAAUGUAAUUAAGGUUAUUUUGACACAAUUUGAUCACUGACUAUUUAUAUCGUAAUAUCAUGUCUACAAUCCGCUUUUAUAUGAGAGGCGAAAGAUACAAGUGAGACAUUCAAACUAAUAAGUGGAAUUCAAGCUGACAACACAAUGACAAACAAGAAAAGGACCAACAGACAAAAAAGUUACACAAAACACAUAUGUAUGUCUCAUGUCUCUUUAUAAUAGAAAUAGAGGUAAAUAUUCUGUAUCGUAUUUUUAUAGUCAGUAUUUCAAUAUGAAACAAAAUGUGAAUGUUUUAAAAGCAAUUAUUGGCAAUUUCUUCUACGUCACGUUCAGAUAUAUGGCUGAUGUGCUGCCACUCUGUAAGUCACAUUCCAGCAAUUUCAUAUAUCUCAUUUAUCUUAGCGAACUUGACAUACGGGUGUAACCGGAACUUGAUACCAAAACUAUAUUCCUAAAAUUAACAGUGAUAAUAUUUUUCAAACUAUGACAAACAUUUAUGUAUCAAUAUUAAUAUUCAUUACUUCCUAUUUCUGAUUAUUUACCAACCAGGAUUCAGCGUAUUUCAAUUCAUUCGUAACGAGUGUUUAUUUUCACAUUUUUGACACUGAUAAGACGAAAUGCACUGAUAAGACGAAAAUAAACCAUCAGGGAUAUGAAGGAGGACAUUCUAUACUAAUGAAACAAUUAUGAACACAAAUUAUAAGUUUUCAGAUCUUCAAACCGCAGUUAAGUCGUCUAACCUGUAUAUUAUUUUUUAUACCAAUUUUCACACAUGUGAAUACAUUAUACAAGGGAACGCUUUAUUACAACUAUUUAUAAGAAUCACGGUCUAGACCCAAAAUUUCACAAGACUAUAUACAACUAAACCUUAGGGAAAAUUUGUUUUCUGUAAUUCUUCGUCAUAUUACUAAUGCUUAAAAGGUUCUUCACGCAACAUCCAUUAAUUGUUGAGAAAAAUCUUAAAUUCCCAAUUAAAAAGUCAUUGUAGUGAUGGUGACGUCUGUCUUGUUUCGACAAAUGGUUUUUGAUAGCCCCUUGGUAUAUCCGCUUGGGAUAAACGCUCGUUAUGCGAACAUUGAAUACGUAGGAAAUAAAUACAUGUUAUUAACAGCUGUGUCAUCAUGGUCAUGAUAAAAGGAUGCGCUAAUUUCACUUCAAUCCCCUUUACAGUCACUUAUCUAUGUUCAGUUAGACAUACAACCGAAGUAUCAUAAGUAUUUGUUGAAAAUAGUUUAUGUUCUAAAAGUGCAUAAGGCAGUUCCCGACUAAAGGUUUUUGAUUGUCCCCUUGGUGACUGCCUUUCGUUUUAUUUUCAUUACAGGUAUAAACGCUUUUUAUCUUAAAUCUGAAUAAGUAUCAAAUAAAUACACAAAUGAACAACUGCACCAUGAUAAAAGGAUACGCUUAUCCCACUAAUCCGCGCCGCUAAAAUGGUAUGAUUAUAGAUCAUCAAAUAUGAAUACAAAUGAAAAUAUACAUUUGUCAGGACACGCCAAAACUUUCACUAUUUUUAACAUAUGGAAACUCUUUAAUUAUGAAAUAACUAUUUUGAACAAAAUUGAAGGAAGCCUGUGGAAUCAUACCUUUAAACAUUUUGUAAAAAUUUAGCGUGUUAACUGAUAAGUGCUUCAAACUGUCGAAUGAUUAUACAUGCAAGUGAAUGCUCGUGAAUGAUUGACUUAAAAAUCAAUGUUGAAUAAAAGGGGAAAUUAUAUUGGAAAGUUUGGAUAUGACAUUUAUGGAAUAAUGGCAUUUUUGUUUUUUAUACUGACUUUAUCAGAAAGAUAAUUAUUCUUAUACCGGCAAUCUGUCUAAACUCUAUGUUUUUUUUUAAUAUGAAGUAAAAUCAAGUAAUAAGUAAAACUACUUUUACGCGUACAAAACGCUGGGUUUGUUGAUGGUUGUAUCAAUAAAGUCGCUUGCAUUUCAUUGAUAAAUUGAAGCGAAUGAACAAGAACAUGUGACGUUUCAGCACUAAUACAUGACGUCAUUGCCUAAUUUUUGGCAAGUCGUGUCUAUGAUAUUAAAAAUAUUAGGUAGUAAUAUCAAAGGAAAAAUGUCCCAAUUGCCGAUAAAGUCAGUUAUCAUUUGGCAUCUUUUUAAGAUCGACAUAAUAUAUACAUGCAGACACAGCACAAACAUUCACAUACAUUGUUAUUCUUUUUAUUUUGCAUUCAAAAAGUACAUGAUACAUGUACUACUUGAAACAGAAACUGAUUUGUAGUGCAGUAUAUAUUUAGUAAUGCUAGAAGUUCGCUGUCAGAAAUAUGAUGCAUGCAUUGCCGUGCAUUCUAUUAAUAAAGACGAAGUGACAUUUAAUCAGUCAUACAAUUUUCAUAGGUCAUGAAGCGUAUGGAAAAUUGUUUGUUUAAUCUUUUCCUUGCAGCAUUUAAUGAAAGUACUACUGACAUUUUCGUUGGACGUUUCGGCUUUCAUGCAAUUGAUAACUUUCUAUUGGCAUUACAUCAUCCAUUACAUUAUGUCGUUAAUUUUACGAAGAAAUAAUUGUGAACUACAAUUCAUUUUAGUACUAGAACCUAAACACUGUGAAAAACUAAAAUAAUGAUAUCAGUUAUUUUAAUACUUUAAACUAUUUCUUUCUGAAUCUUAACAUAGAAGCGUGGUCAACAAUUACUUAACAAGCAAAAUGUAAUUAAAAACACUCAAAAUAACAGGGUAUAGUUGUGAACUUCAUAAGCUCUGUCGCAGAUAGGUUUUUAUUACUCAUAAUCAAUUAAAGGUUUCUUAUUAUUCUACUCAUGUCAAUUCAUUAUAUUUUCACUAAAAUGUCUGUAGUUUUGGAUUGCAUGCGACAUUAUUUUUUUCAACCCCCUGAAUGUGCGAGCUCUUGUGGUCUCGUAAUUUUUAAAGAUGUUUUGCUACGUUUCUUAUCAUAUUGAUACAUGUUUUUUAUUUACUGAAACAUGUGAAAAACAUAUACUUCGUACUUGAAAAGGUUAUAAAUAAAACUUUUUGUUUGAUUAAGAAUGAAACAACUUUGUAUUGCACUGUUUUUGACAGGAAACAGUAGUUUCCCAAUAUUUAAAUUCACUGUUAGUGUUUUCCACAAAGAAAAUAUGUAUUUGAUUAUAAAUAACUAUCUACAAUGUUUUCCUAAUGUGUUGAACAAAAUGAAAGACACUCUCAGUAAACAUUUUAUCAAGGAAGUAAUGAUAGCGUUGAUUAAUUACCUUAAAUGUAAUAUUUUCAUUCAGUCUCACAACAGUCACUUAUCUUUAUCGCGUGUGACGUAACACUGACGUAGUCAUUAGUAAUCGUUUGCACGUAGCAUAUGUUCUUAAAGUGCAUUGGACAUUUUCUGCAUUUGUUUACUAAUGUACACGCAAACGCUUCUUAAAGAUUAACUGACACUGAUUGUAAAGCUGCAGUGCAAAAUAAUAAUGCUAUUAAGUUUAAUAAAUCGCUUAUUUACGCAUGUCUUUUAGAGUAUAUCAAACCAUAUUACUUUGUGAGUGUGUAAACACAAAUUAGUGGUAAUUAAUACUUUCAACAAUAUUACAACCAUCUUCUUUGAAAGUAUUACAGCGUUAAAUAAAAUAAAACGGAUAGUUUGACUUUCGUUUUAUUAAUUUGUAGUGUUUUUCAAUUUCACACUUAAAGUUCGUUUUUUUUUUUUUUUUGGCUGCGUUACAUGUAUAUAUGCCUUUAUCGAAAUCGUAUACAAAACAUAAGUAGUAUUUAUAGAAUGUCUUGAAGCUGUCGAUAACGUACGACUCAUCGAUAAAUCUCGAUUCAAAAAAUAAAUAAAAUAUGACGUUGAAGAGCAUUCAAGGUAACCUAUUGAUUGGGAUUACCCAAAUAUUUUCUCGAUGUUAAUCAUUUACUGUCGCUGAUAAAUUUUAUCAAGUUUCUUCAACUAAAUAAUUCAUUCGUAUUCAACUUUUAAAAUUUCAAUCUAUAUGCACAGUGCCUGCAUAAUUUCACUACAUAAAUUUGUUUCGUGACAUAAAAUAAAGUUUAACUAUUAUGAAACUAAAAUUUAACAGUUAAUUUAUAAGUAUAACCAUACCAAUGAUAAUUGAUUUCAACACAUAAGUGCUGACUACUGGGCUGAUGAUACCUUCGAGGAAUAAAAACUCCACCAGCAGUGGCAUUGACCCAAUGGUUGCGAUUAACUAGUGGUGAGUUGUCUCAUUGGUAAUCAUACCACAUCUUCUUUUUUAUAUCAACUCUUUAUUCAAGCGUAUAAUUAUGCACCGUCUAAUUUUAUCAGGAACGGAUUUUCAAAAUAUUCUUAAUUAGGGCUAUGACUUUCAGUUCACUGAACAUGGGAAUUUGAUAGUAUGAGUUGAACAUGGUGUCCUAAGGAAAUUCGUUCUGCUAUUUGUUAGAACAAACGGCAACAGAAGUUUACUGGUAUUUGAAAACACAAAUUUAUACAAGGAACUUACUUUAAGAAAUGACAACUGAAAACAAGAUAUUGCUGUUAUAAACUUAUGAAAUUUCAACAAAACUCGCAAGAACUCUACACAAGGAAGCGAUAACAAGAUCGGACCAACCGAUGGACGAACGCCUGGUAUGUCCAUGCCUCCUUGCAUAGCGUUGGAACAAAAAUACGAUAGCCACCACAGAACAGGGACAUCAUAGUUGAUUCCUUAAACACUGUAUGCAUGUUUACGAAUCACUGUAAAAAGUAUAAUCACAAAAAUACUGAACUCCGAGGAAAAUUCCAAAAGGAAAGUACCUUAUCAAAAUCACAUCAAUUUGAGGGUUUCGUAUCUUAGAAAUAUAUAUAUAGGCGAUGUGGUAAAAUAUACAGCAGACACUUUUUCAUUCAUUUCGUACUUCAAUAUUGAGUUAGUUGUUGAUAGUUUUCAAAGGUACCAGGCUUAUAAUUUAAUACGUCAGGCGCGCGUUAGUCUACAUAGGACUCUUCGGUGACGCUCAGAUUGUUACAUGAGGGCAUUUAUUGGGCUCUAAGUACUGAAUUGUCAUUUUGAGUUGAUGUUAAAACCACAGACUUUAACACUUGUUUCAAAUGUAUGGUAAUCGGUGCUGUAAAAUAGAUCUAAUGAUAUUUCAUGAAAAAUAAUUAAUUAUAGAUUUAAUAAAUAAAUGUGUGUACUCCUGACGCUUGUUUCGUCGAAAAACAGAUACGGGUAUAGUCAUAUCAUCAUACUUUAAAGGAAAAUAUUGAAUAUAAAGUUGUUAGUAUUUCAUCGAAACUCUUUUUCUGACAAUAUUGUCUUCAAUAUAGAAAAUCUUUAUUAUUGCGUUUUUCAAAGGCACGACAACAAAGUGAGAUCGAGAAUUGCGAUUUCAAGAAAUUCUGCAUUUAGUUAUAUGUAUCUGAUAUCACAAAGCGAGUUCUUAUUACUCAAUGAGUCGCCUUUUCAAUAAUAAAACCUGCGAAAUACUUUUCGUUACUCAAUGAUACGGAAUGGUUGUAAAGGGCAAACAUUCCAAGUGAUUAUUCGACAUUUCUGUGUGAACUUUUCGUACGGGAAUUAGAUAGAUGCAUGAUGCAUACAAAUCAUAAUGUAAACUGUCUUUAACAAUUAACUCUAUUACGUUGUACAAUUGAUUUAUCUGUAAACAAAAUAAUGAAGGUCAUCACGAACCCAGUGUGCAAAAUAACAUUUACAUAGAAAACAUCACACUAAAAUAUUGUAAAAUAGCUGUAAUGGUCUGAUCAUUUGAUUGCUUCAUUUUUGCCUUUUCCAUCUCAUAGAUUUAGUCCAAAAUCCCGCCCCAUUUACAUUAAGGUAGAACUAUAUAUUCUUAGAUGUUUGGUUUGUUAAAGCUUUAUAUUUUGCCAUUUGAUUAUGGAUUUCCCGUUUUGAAUUUUCAUCAGAGAUGGUAUUUUAGUUAUUUUACCCUUUUCUACAUCAAACAUCAAACAAUUAACAAACAAAAUAGAGAUUUAAUUUAAUCUUUUUCCAAUCGACUACAAUUUAAAAAACAAAUAAAACAAUGCGAGAAAAUAUAUACAUAUUUAAAUAUACAUUAGACUAAAGCAUUUAGCAUUGUUUCAAUGUUUGAAUUGUUACAAUGGUAGCCAUUUAAUUGUGAAAGUUCUUUAAGAUUGUAUGAUAGAAAAGAUAUGUAAAGUAUCUGCAAAAGAAAGAAAAAGACGUUAGGAAACGCAAACGUUAAUAUAGAUGAAAGAAGAUGUGGUAUGAGUGUCAAUAAGACAACUCUACAUCAUAGUCACAAUUUGUAAAGAAAUCCAUUAUUAGUAAAAGUACGGCCAUCAACACGGAGACUUUGCUUACACCUAACAACACGUUAUUUAGGGCCAAAAAUUACUACAUUUUAAAACCAUUCAAACAGGAAAACCAAUGGUAUAGUCUUUAUAUAAAACGUGAAACGAGAAACACUUAUGAACCACAUGAACAAAUGACAACCACUGAACAUCAGUUACAUGACUAAGGACAGGUUCAAACAAAUGCAGCGGGUUUAAACGUUUUAAUAGGCAACAACCUUCACCCUAACUUGAAACAUCACAACAUAGAAAUAUGCACUAUAAAACAUCAGUUGAAAUGGCUUAACUCAAUUAAAAAAACAUACUAACAAAAACAAGCAGACAUACACGAACGACAUGAACGAAUAAAUGUGAUAUAUUACACAAUCUCAAUACAAAAUUGUACAACGACAUAUAUUCAUUUAAAAUGCUUUGACCGUAGACUUUUAAUUGUACAUUGUCGAAUAGUCUUUUUGCCAAUUCCAUAAUAUAACAAUUUCAUUCUGUCAUCUCAGACAUUCAAAACAGGAGUCGAUUUUACAAAAUAACUUUGACUUAGAGUGAUCGUAAGUCAUGAACAUUUUUGUUUCCCAUUGCAAAUUUUUGAAUGGUUCUAUAUAGUUAUCAAAGGUACCAGGUUUAUAAUUUGAUACGUCCGAUGCACGUUUCUGCAUAUAUUUAAGACUCAGCACUGACGCUUCAAUCAAAAUAGUAAGAAAGGCAGACAAGUACAAAGUUGAAGAGCAUUGAGGACCAACAAUUCCAAAAAGCUGUUCCAAAUGCAUCUAAGGUAAUCGUUGCCUGGGAUAAGAAAAUCCAUCUAUACCGGAUAAAAUUUAUUGCUGCCUUUUCAAAGAACGAUAAUUUGAAAGUGAUAUAUAGACAUUAUAAACCCUUUAUCCAAUUUAUGAUAAUAUAGAAUUGAAAAUAUAAUAAAAUUUUAACUUAACAAUUAUUUCAAAAAAUAAAACGGAAAAAUCACUGAUAAAUCAGUUUUUUCCGUUAGUCAUUCAGUGUCAAUGAAAAUUGAAGUUAGUCCUAAAUGAAGCUUAAACGGAUCUCUAAUUACUGGAUCAAGUACGGAGUUUGCUAAGAGGUUAUUGCAUCAAUUUUAAUGUUUUAGUAAAGUUGAAUCAAAUUAACUUAAUUUUGUUUGUGUAAAACCUUGCAUAUUUAAGGGUUCUUACCCAAAAUGAAGACAUAAAAAGAAUUUCAAGACGGAACUUAUACUGGUAAAAUUCUAUAUAUUAAAUCAAAAUCAUGCACUGAGCCUUUUGUUUUACAAAAUUACCUUGUUAGAUGAACAUGUAUGUUGUUUCAUGUAUAUAAAGUGAAAAACAAUAAGAAUUUUGUGUCUUUUUUAUUACAAUUGGUAUGUUGAAUGUUUAAUACUUUGUGUCUUUUUCUAGUUCAUAUUUUGAAAUUCGUAAACAAGAAACAAGGGUAGUUGGUACAAAGCUUAUAUCUAUAUUUAUUAUGACUUUAAUUGUUGUGCGGCUCCUUCCUGCUGAACAAUAAAGACAUUUUAAAAUGUUCAAUAAAGCGAUAAGCUCCUUAUGAACCUUUAAAUUGAAUUCAAAAUUACAAAAAAAGAAAAUGAAGAAAGAAGGAAGCUAUAAUGAUUAUAUCAUUGUUUCCUUAUAUGUAAGUUACAAAAACAUAAAUUGAAGAAAGACGGAAGCUAGAAUGAUUAUAUAAUUGUUUUUUUUUUAUAUUAGUUACCAAACAAAAAGGAAAAAAGAAGGAAGCCAGAACGAUUAUAUAAUUGUUUUAUAUAGAUAUCUUAACUUUAGUCAAUCACAAUGAUCAACUCAUCUUCACAGAUGUGUAUCACAAACAUCAUUAAGGCAUUAUGCAUCUUCAACUUCCUUAUUUUGUUGAACAAAUCUGUUACAGACAACGAUAUAUGACAUGCAAUGAGAUACUCGAACUUAGAGACACUGAUGAGAAGUACGCCAAGAUAACGUUAUUGCAAGUUCAGUGUCUUAUGACCACACUCACCUAGUUUUUAUUUCCUAACUUGACGCUCUCCCUUCAUGAGACAUAUAAUUGAACGUGACUUCGUAUUAAGAUUUCUCGAAUACACAAACGGACGCCCUUGCAUCACGGGUGUCAUUCCAAGAGAGAAGAUUUAAUGUUUGAUAUUGUGCACCAAAGAAAAGGUGUUAUGAUUGCCAAUGAAACACAUUAUCAGAAGAGACCAAAUGACACACACAUUACCAAUUAUAGGUCCCCGUGCAGCCUUCAUCAAUGAGCAAUGUCCAAACGGUAUAAUCAACACCAGUUCUAUUCUAAGAUAAGACCAGCUUACAUAUAUAUUUAAAAGUUAUUCAUAAAAGAAUCGUUUUUACAUGAAUUACGUAUAUUUUCUUGGUAUAAAGUACUAUAUAAGAUAAGAAAUUAAAAUGAUUAUGACAGAGAAAUAUAGAUUUGUUAAACAAUUGUAUAACUUACUUCUAAACUGACUGCCGAACUGUCAUUGAUAGACAGCUCAAUUAUUACCAGAAAGUUUUGAUUUUCUGUGAAAUCAUAUAUUCUUUGACCAAAGUGCAUUAUAUUCGGCAAAGUAAAUUGCCUAAAACCUGUAGGAGUUUCUAUUUUGAGUUAAUAUGUUUAUUUUCCAUAACUAUAAGACGUUUUGUCGUCAUGAAAUCGUUUGAACAAUAUGAACUAUAUACAUUGGUUAAUUCAAAAAUAUAGGAUUGAUUAUGUAAGCUUUUUACAUUUCAAAUCAUAUUUGCGAUUUUAACAAUAAGUUCAUGUUGUUAAUCAAGUAAUUUUCCAAAUUUAAAGUAAAUUGGUUAAUGUUCAGUAUCAAAAAUAAGUACUGCACUAAUGAAAUGAACCAAAAAAAAAGAGAAUAGCUGAAUCUCAGUUUAAUACACAUAUGAUAAUAACCAACAAUUCAAAUAAUACGAAGCCAUUGUUAUUUGAACUGUGAGUAUCAGGGCUUUGUCGUAAGAGUAAAUAUUGUAACGUUGGAGAGACAACUAUUAUUUUUUGUCUAAAUAAAACUACUUUUAACAGACAGGCGAAAGAUCCCUAGGGUACAGUCAAACAGUUGAUAAUUAACUGCCUUCAUUCUCUAUAUAAAACUGUCUGCAUUCUGCUUAGAUUUACAAGUAUACUCAAUCAUACAAUUGGAAAUGAUCACUUAUCAGAUCUAGAGUAGUCAAGAAUACAUGGGAGUUUUUUUCUCCUUUGCUUUAUCCCUGACAGAUGAGACUGUAAAAAUCGGAGAACUUUGGUUGCUGUAAUAGGUGAUUAUUAAUAAAAUAUGUUUAUAAAUUUAAAAAAAAAAUAUAUUGAAGCCUUAACACUAAUAUGUCGAGAAAUGACAUUUUCUGCUAAAACCUAGUAAAACUUGUUAUUAAAACUGGUGCGUCCUGAAUAAAUUUUGCAUAUUAUCUACAUCGUUAUAAUUCAUUUUAAAGACAUAUAUUAGAUAAUUGAACUGUUGCUAUCGAUUGAAGACAACUAAAUGCAGGUUUUUCAGUGCUUUCUGAUUACACUCAUACGUCUUUUCUGAUUUUAAGAUUUAAACCAAAUCGCUUUAAUAAUUUCUUUCUCGACAGUAAGUUCUUUGUAAACCUUCGAUUUUCCGAACGCUGUGACCCAAGGACAACUUGACACUAUAGAAAUAUCGUUAUUAAAUGAUUUUUUAAUUUUUUUUUAUAUUCGAUAAGCAUUUAACCUAAUUUAAAACGAUGUUUGAUAUACAGCGAAUCUCAUAAGGAGAUUUACUCUAGAAAACAAAACUUCCACGUUUAUUUUCUAUAAGCCUUUUUAAAAUUUAAAAUUACAUGUCCUAUCAAUAAUAAAUAUAUAAUAUUGAGAAUUGAAAUGGGGAAUGUGUCAAAGAGACUACAAUCCGACCAAUGAGCUAAAUAAAGGCAACAGUAGUAUACCGCUGUUCAAAAUUCAUAAAUCGAUAGAAAAAAAACAAAUCCUGGUUACAAACUAAAACUGAGGGAAACAGGUGAACGCCACCAAUGGGUCCUCAACACAGCUAGGCGUGCUUCAGCUGGUCCCUAAACAAAAAUGUGUUAUGUGAUCUAGUUCAGUUAUAAUGGACGUCAUAUUAAACUAAAUAUUAUGAAACAUAUAAAUAAACUGAAAUCUAAAAUCUUACAAGACUAAAAAAGGCCAGAAUCCUGACCUUAGACAGACGACGGCAAAAUUUGGCAUGUUUUUUGACGUGAUCCACACGUAGAAUGAGUUUACAUUGCAGGCACUUUACAAAAACAUGUGCAUAAUUUUAUCAAAUGAAGAAAUACUGAACCUUAACAUGUUAAGUCAUACUGCCAAAUCAUAGUACAUAAUUAACAUGUGCAUAAUUUUUGGUCUUUGGUCGGGUUGUUUUCUUUUUGACACAUUCCCUAUGUCCAUUCUCAAUUUGAUGACAAGAUCUAAAAUACAUAUAUAAUAGGUAAUUGUAAGAUGAGUUCAAAUGAGACAAUAAACCAGGCAAACAAAUGUUCGCUGUUAACAAGCUUUAUAGCCAUGACACCUGUCGUUUAAAAAAAAAAACAUUUAAUAGAAACCGCAAAUAAAAAAGAACGGCGUUUUGGGCAUUAACGAUAUAUUUUUAUGACUCAAAACUUUUCUUCUUCAAGAGAAUACAGGGUUAUUUUUCUAUAAUUCUCAAAAUCAAGAAAUUACAUUUUUUUAACUGUUUUGUCGUAUGAAAAACCGGACGUAACGUACUAUGAUUUGGCGGUAUCACACGUAAAUCCACAUUAUGUUUACCUAGAGCCUAGCUUGUUUUAUAUCUUAAUAGUUAAUUUCUCUCUGUAAUGAAGCCUUAGGUUGUUUUUUGGUCUUUGGUCGGGUUGUUUUCUUUUUGACACAUUCCCUAUGUCCAUUCUCAAUUUGAUGACAAGAUCUAAAAUACAUAUAUAAUAGGUAAUUGUAAGAUGAGUUCAAAUGAGACAAUAAACCAGGCAAACAAAUGUUCGCUGUUAACAAGCUUUAUAGCCAUGACACCUGUCGUUAAAAAAAAAACAUUUAAUAGAAAUCGCAAAUAAAAAGAACGGCGUUUUGGGCAUUAACGAUAUAUUUUUAUGACUCAAAACUUUUCUUCUUCAAGAGAAUACAGGGUUAUUUUUCUAUAAUUAUCAAAAUCAAGAAAUUACAUUUUUUUAACUGUUUUUGUCGUAUGAAAAACCGGACGUAACGUACUAUGAUUUGGCAGUAUCACACGUAAAUCCACAUUAUGUUUACCUAGAGCCUAGCUUGUUUUAUAUCUUAAUAGUUAAUUUCUCUCUGUAGUGAAGCCUUAGGCCCCUAUGUCCAUUCUCAAUUUGAUGACAAGAUCUAAAAUACAUAUAUAAUAGGUAAUUGUAAGAUGAGUUCAAAUGAGACAACUACAUGUAUCCAUCAAAUGACGAAGAUGUAAACAAAUAUAUAUCACCGUAAAACCUUCAGUAAUGCGCUAAAUGAAAACCGCAAAGUAGGCAACAAAAGGCCCCAUCACGAAAAACUAAAACAAUUCAAACAAGAAAAUAUUACGAAAAAACAAACAAAAACAAAUAUGAUAUAGAAUAUUAAACGUCAACUGAUAAAUAACAUGUUCUUGAUUUAGAACAUGCAAAUACACAAUGUUGAGUUUUUGAAAUGUUUGUGGGCGCCCAGCCAUACUGUUAGCAGGAAAGUAUGAUAUUGUAAAUACUGAUUGUUAUAGUUCAUUGUUACAUUUUUUAAAGGUUUGACUUAUUUGAUAGAUACAAAGAUUAAAAUCAAGUGAGAUGUUAUUAUAUCUUUUCGUCAAUGGUCUGUUAUCAAUGAACUGUUAAAAAUUCAUCUCCUCUAUUUCCAUUGUGGCCAAAUAUUAUAAUGAGUGAAAAGUAAAAUCACAAAAACUAGACUCAUUAAAGCCUCUUGAUUUUUUAUAUGGUCAUAUGUGCUAAGUGUUUAACGCAUACAAUCAGUCUUCAUGUCAAACUGAUAUAUCUUGUUGGAAAUGACGAUUUCAUUUGUGUUCAAAUAUAGACUUCAGAGUACUUAAAACAUUGCAAUAUUGUCAAGCAGAACAAUAAUGACACAAUCAUUGAAGAUUAUAGUCAGAUUUGUCACUGUAUGUUAAAUAACAUUUCUUAUACACAUUGUGAGAAAUGACAACUCUUAAAACAACAAACUAGACAGUAAACGAUUGCCAAAAUGGAAAUGUGUUCAGAUUGAAAAAUGAAUAAAAAUAUAUACGUGUACAAUCAUAAUGUAAAAAUGGUUUUUAUCCAUUCCUCCAGCAAUGAGUAAAUAAUAGUAAAGAUAUAUUUUAUUUAGUAAAGGGAUUUUCUUUUUACAAAAGUAUGCAUUUUAACAUUAAAAUAUAAACACAAUAGGAAUUUCCUUUCUUUUAUAUAACUACUGUAUGGCAGUAGGAAGAGCAACUUAAAGAAACAGAUACCUCUGGAAGUUAACGAAAGCAAACAGACAUGUAACCAUGCACAAGUUGUUGGAACUAAAUUAGUAUCUAGCUAACAUGAAAUCUUUACAUUUACAGUUCGUCAUUAUGUUCAACAAGUGAUACUUCAAAGGGAAAGCAACAAUAAAAUAGAUAUUGAGUAAUUUACAAAUUAUCAAAACAUAAGUCUAUAAGUAUAUCAGAAUAAUGAAACUCGCUUUUCAUGUAAUAUAUUUGCAUAAAAGCUAAGAUAAAGUUUAAAAGUGUCUGAGAGUUAUUUGAAAUUUAGUAAUGGCUAAUUAUCUAAAAAAAAAUAUGAGUGAUAUCUUUCUAUAAAGGCAACAGUAGUAUAACGUUGUUCGAAACUCAUAAAUCGAUAGAGAAAAAAAUCCGGGCCACAAACUAAAACAGAGGGAAACGCAUUAAAUAUAAGAGGAGAACAACGACACAACAUUUAAAAUGUAACACAAACAGACACGAACUAAACAUUAAACAAAACCCGAUGAGAAUAACAAAUAUAACAUCAAAACUAAAUACAUGAAUUUUGGGAUAGAAAAGUACCAUGAAACGUCUUAUAUUAAUGUGAAUUCACACUCAAAUAUAAGAGGAAACAAACAACACAACAGAAACCAAACGAUAAAAUGUAACACACACAGAAACGAACUAUAAUAUAACAAUGGCCAUGUUCCUGACUUGGUACAGGACAUUUUUUAAAAAUGAUGGGUUAAACCUGGUUUUGUGGCAUGUCAAACCUCCCGCUUUAAUGGCAAUGUUAAAUAUAACAUUAAAAUGACAACAUAAUAUUACAGGACUACAAUACAAAAAAAUAGAACAUAUUGGACAAAGAAACACACGAAUAAUAGCUAACAAAAGGCUCCAGGUUUAAGAUUUGAUACGCCAGAAGUGCGUUACGUCCACACAUAAAUAGGUUUCAUGAUGGUAUAUUCUACUUUACAAUUACUAUGCAUAAUAAUCAUCGCCCUCGUUCAAUUAAAUGCAUCGCUUACCAGUGUUUAAAAUAAUUCAACUUAACCGAAAUUGUAAAUCGAUUCAACGAUUUCUUUUAAAAAAUAAAAUUCUGAAAUGAUCAGUUUGACCUUUUUUGUAUUCUUUCAAUUGUAAUGUAAAGCAACUACCCUAGUUUCUGCCAUAAUUAUUAUCGAUGUCAGGUGCACAAACAAAUCAACAGAAUUGAAGAUGUCAAUCAACUCUGUAUAGAAGUUAUUACCUUUCAAUUAGCAUUUAUCGUGUUUUUUAAAGUGUUAUGACAAUUUUCCUCAGACCUUUAACAGACAAAAAAAAACUAUGACAAUUUUAAUGGUCAGCAAGAUAAGAUUUAUCAAUAAUUAAAAGUAACUAAUUGAGUUUGAAUAAAAAAUGGUCAAACUUCGUGUUUGGAGGGUCUUCUUGCUAAUAAUUGUAUUGUCACAUAUAUUUUCAAGGUGGCAGAUUCAUGCUCCUUGGAGACUCAAGUUAUUAAAAAA
RNAcentral lists this long non-coding RNA (21102 nucleotides) under Mytilus galloprovincialis (Mediterranean mussel). The record is from RNAcentral. Lineage: Eukaryota; Metazoa; Mollusca; Bivalvia; Mytilida; Mytilidae.